UCUCUCUCUCUCAUGUGAAUGUUCAAACCCAGGAAGAGCCUCAGUAAUGGUUCGCAGCUCCUGAAGGCUCGAAGUUCUUUCUUUAACGGUGAAACAAGCGAGAUAUUUCCAAGUACACACAUCACUGUGUGCAACAGGGGGGAAAAUAGGAAAGGGAGUUUUCAUCAAGUCCAAAAGCUAUCGGUUGAGGAGGGACACGGAUGUAAUUCAGGAUAACAUUUGAGGGCAGGCAAGGGAACAGGACAGUGGCAGUGGUUGCUUGCGCAAAUCUAGCUAAUCUGGGCCUUCUGGGGCAAGCGAAAAUUGUUCGAGUUUACAGCCAAAAAUCAAAUCACAGUCCAUAUCAAAGAAAACCCCCCUUCCCUCAGCAAACACACACCCACCCAUUUUCCAUCUUCCAUUUUCGCUCUCACUCAACUCACUUUAGGCCUCAUUAAUAUGGUGUGAGAAGAAGAGUAGUACAGUCACAGAAAUGGUCUCUUCCUGUGCGCACAUGAAGCCAAAGUAAUCUCACGUCCUCCACUUCUUGUAACCCAGCACACAACCUCCCUCUCUUAUCAUUUUCCAACAGCCCUUUUCCAUUUCUUUUCAAGAUAGGACGAGAAGACCCGACUUCGUACUCCUAGGAAACGAGAAAUUCUUGAGAGAAGAAAGAAACGUUGCAAGAACUGAAGACCCAUGUUUCCCUCUUCCAUGAUUUGUGUUCUUUCUGACAAACACGCAAUCACCCAAACCCGGUCUGUUUUAUCUUGUUUUCUGGGGGUGACACUGCUUAAAAAUCCCAACUUUUGCCUCAAUUGAUGAGUGUACACAUGCUGCUGCUGCGACUGUGGAAGCGACGGCGGCGGCGAGGGUGGUGGAGCGUGGGGAGUGCAUCUGGUGGUGGUGGUGCUGCCGCUGAGUGGCAAGCUCAAGAAUGGCAUUGCUCUUUUUGCUUAUGUGAGGAAUGGCAAAUUUGUGCUCUUUUGCAAGGUUCAACUCUUGCCACUUGCUUGUCUCUGUUCUCCUGCUUGUUUAGCUUCUAACAGUGGUGGUGGUGGUGGUGGUGAUGGUGGUGGUGGUGGUGAUAUUGGCGGGACGGCUCAAUCUUGUAUUUCUUAGCUUCCAAUUUGCUCUAAUCUUUGUUGCUUUUCUUCUUUGUUAGCUAAUUGUGAAUUCAUAUGAAAGGCUCUGCAAAAUGCUCAAGUUGGUCUCCCUCUCUCUCUCUCUCUCUCUCUCUCUCUCUCUCUCUCUCUCUCUCUCAGUUUUUCUUCUUCUUUGUUAGUGCCCAACUUUGUGCUUCUUCUUCUUCUCAUGUUUCUUGGAAAAACCCCAUUUCUGGAGAAAGCGAACCCAGAAGUGUUUUUACAUUUUUUCUUCCCUGCCAACAAAACGCCAGAAAUUAAGAGGAAGAUGAAGCAGUGAAUAAAAGCCAAAAUAGAUUUUUUUGGGGGUCUUAAAACACUGUUUUAUUACCUUGUUAAUUCAAACUUUUGUCAGGCUGUCCACUAAAAUGCUUGUUGUGUUUUCUCGGGGGAUGUGCAUGUUGGUUGGUUGUGUUGUGCUAAUGCGCUCUCGCUCUCUCUCUCUUCAAAUGUAAAUUUGCGAAAUUUGAUGUCAUCUUUUAUAUGUUUUGUUUCUAGGAAAGAGUACAGUUUGUCCUUGGAAUUUUCCUCUUGCUUUUUUGAGAAUGUGGGAAGACUUUGUUUUUUCCUAAUGGACAUGUUUCGCCCUUCUCUUAA
This is a long non-coding RNA of Syzygium oleosum, 1721 nucleotides long. RefSeq lists it as uncharacterized. The transcript is spliced from 2 exons. The record is from RefSeq and is a predicted model, not a curated record. NCBI's taxonomy places the organism in Eukaryota, Viridiplantae, Streptophyta, Magnoliopsida, Myrtales, Myrtaceae.